Molecule: long non-coding RNA, 3278 nt
Filed under: Medicago truncatula (barrel medic)
Lineage: Eukaryota; Viridiplantae; Streptophyta; Magnoliopsida; Fabales; Fabaceae
Description: lncRNA gene11908
Source: RNAcentral
CACGUCAACUAUGAUACAUCAAAAAAUUCAGCAAUUAGCAGCAGCAUCGGAAAAUCUCCAUAUCAAAAUUAAGUUUUUGUGCUGCCCCUGCAUAUAAUUUCCAAUACACUUAGUAAUAUGUGUGUUACUAUCUCAGAUAAUUGAAAGUAAACGUAAAAUAAAUUCCUUCAAAACAAAUAAUAAAAGUAGAAUAAAUUCAACCCAAAAGAAUAAAUGUAAAAGACAAGCCAAACUUGCAAUCCACAUGAAAAGCAGUGCAAGCAUUAAAAGUCUGUCGUUCAAUAUAUGGAGAACACGUUAAUAAAGCAAUUGAAUAUAGUCAUUGCUAAAAUAAAAACUAUACCCCUUGCCUAAUCCUCCAAAAUUAAAAAGUACUCCUGACUGUGAUGAAUGAUGAUCAUGCAUGGUCAAAAAAAUCACAUGAUUCAAAAUAUACAAAUCAGUGCACAACAGACAUUAAUAAUGUAAUCAAAUCAUAAUCUAAAAACAUAGAUGCUAGACAUAUACAAACAAAAAAUCAUAUGUUGUGUACUAUUCAUGUUCUAUUCAGAUUGCACAAAUGCAUCAGAUUAUUAGGCUUGAUUUCUCUAAAGAGAAAAAAGUUCGCACAGUAUGUUCAGAUUCGAUCAUCUGGGGAAAUAAUCAUCACACCCAUUGUACUAACAAUUACACAACAUUACAUAUAAACAUUUGAAUAUGUCUACAAAAAAUGCAAACAUGUUGAUUGAAUUAUGAAAGUUAAUAUUUAACAUGGCAAUUAAUGAUAAGUAACACAGAAUUUUAACUGCAAUUUAAUAAUGCAAAUAUAGAUCAGAUUAUUUGGCUUGAUUUCUCCAAAGAGAAAUAAAAUCGCACAGUAUGUUCAGCUACGAUCAUCUGGGGAAAUAAUCAUCACACCAAUCUAACAAUACAAACAAAUUACCAAGACUCUAUGUCUCUGACAUCAAAAAUAAACAUAAUUCAGAGUUUAUUGAGUACAAAUAUAUUACAAAUCAAUAAUUUUGAGUACAUUAUCUAAUAAUGCAAAGAAGGAUCAGAUUAUUUGGCUUGAUUUCUCUGAAGAGAAACAAAAUUCGCACAGUAUGUUCAGUUUCGAUCAUCUGGGGAAAUAAUCAUCACAUCCAACUUACAAUGCAAGUUUUUAAUUGAAAGUCAAUUUCGACAAAAUAAAUAUACAACAACGCAAUAUAAAACACUUCAAUGUAACUAAAUAGUGAAAUUAAAGCAUCAACUGCUAUAUUCCACAAAUCAUACUUAGAAAAGGAGAAAUGUAUCUGAUCACAUUAAAAAGAAUGAUGUAAUUAACAAUGUAUGGAAAAAUAUAUACUAUAAUUUAGAAGUUGAAACAAAAUGUAUUUUUAUAAUAUGGAGGUGUGCGUAACCCGAAUCUCAAUAUAUUUUCAACAGGGCUUUAAACACCACUCAAUCUAUAUACGGAGUUUGUUGGAAACAAAGCACUCAUGUGUAAAUAAUGCUUUCAAAAACAACACAUUACCCCUGAAACACUUUUCAACAACUUCAAAUUAAGAAAUUACUCCCUCCGUCGCUAUAUCUAAGCACCCAUUUGAUUUUUUUUUGUCGCUAAACAUACACCUCUUUUCAAAUUACAAGAUGCAUUUAUUAUUAUUUUCCUAAACAUACCCCUAAUUAAUACUAUAUUUUGUAGUGAAAUAUGAAAAGGCAAUGGGCGGAGUGAGUAUUCUCUAACAAAUCAAAAAAUUCAAUUUCCAAUAUGAUUGGGUCUAACAAAAUCAAAUAAUUCAGAGUAAGAGGGUGACGCUCAUAUUCUAUGGGUGUAUUCGUGUCUGUCAUGCCAUGGCAAUAGCAAUCAGUACGAGGAAUUGUUUAUAAUCAUCACAACCAACCUCUUUCUAUUAGGAAUUUAAUUCAAGUUUAAUAGUCACAAACUUGUAAGUUAUUUUAAAAGCACAAGAUCAAGCAUAUAAAGAAAUGUUGUGCUGUUAUUUAACUCCAUUCUCGUGGUUAUCAAAAGAUGAAGCUGAUAGACAACACUAACUCUAUGAGUUUAUUCAGACUCUAAACCAAUUCAUAAAGGAAAAGAGUAUAGUUAAAACUCAAUAAAACUAGAUUAAAACCAUAUAAUUAUAUACAAAUACAACUGAAUUCAAAGGUAAUAAACAACAAGACAAAUGAACCUCAGUUUAAUCUCUUUAUGUCAUUGGAAAUGUAGCAACACCAAGUAGGUUCACCCUGCGAACAGGAUCUUGGGUUAACUACAACCUCAGACAAGUUGGAUUGUUAAAAAACAUCAUUGGUACAAACAAAACCAGAACACACAAUAGAAAAUUAAACUUAUAUAACAAAUUUAUGCAAAACACAACUCAAACUAGAAUAGUUAAAAUUAAACACAACUCAAACUAGAAUAGUUAAAAUUAAACACAACCAUAUGAUCUAAACCAUUCUAAAUCAAAUUAUGUUUGAAUUCAAAACAAAAAAAAAAUUGUGUAAGGCUCAGAAUAUACUACAGCUCUAUCAAUCACGAUUUUCAGAAGCAGAACUGGCAUUAAGCUGAAUUAAUUCUCCUCACGGCCAAAUACAUCCUCUGAUACAUUAAAUUCCUUCCUGAAGUAUAACACUAAUAAUUGAAGGUAGCUAAAAUGCAUAUUAAUUCACAAAAUUGAACACUCAUCAAUUGAGAUUCAGCUAGCAACAUAUGAAAUGUCAUAAAUUGAAACCACAAUUGAUAGAUGAGCAUUUUGGGGUACCAUCUUAGGGUUUAAGGGAAUUGAAAGAGAACUUAAAAUGCAAUCAUCUAACAGAAACUAAUAAUAACAAAGAAAAGUUUGGCUCAUAUUAAGAAAUUCAACCAUUGAUUCCGAUAUACUUCAUAGGAAAACUCAGAAGCGCGGAUAAUAUGUAAUCAUAGCCAAAAAUUAGGUUUUCACGAAUCAAAAUCAUACAAAAAAAAAAGGUGUGGCGAAUUUUUUUAGAGGCUUAUACAUUAAUAGGUUAAAACCACCACGUGAAAACCGCCAGAGAAUCAAUUUCUGCCUCUAUGACUAGCUUUGAUUUUCAUGAAAUUUUUGGAAAACAAGCUAAAGGUGUAGUGAGGCAAAUUCAAAACAUAAAAAGUAAAUUGGAAAAUUGUGAUUUGAGAUUUAGCCAUUACUUUGACACAGAUUAGCCGUGAAAACUAGGCUGAAUUGCAACACGAACGGCGAAGAUCUAGCACGUGCUUAGGGCUUUCGAGUCAUUAGAUAUAUCAGAGAAGCCCGGGAGGCAUCGUGCUGAGAAAUUAAACGAAAGAGAAAGAAAAA